RNAcentral lists this ribosomal RNA (522 nucleotides) under uncultured bacterium. RNAcentral describes it as "bacterial SSU rRNA". It matches the Rfam family "Bacterial small subunit ribosomal RNA", at positions 28 to 532 of the family's 1533-position model. The record is from RNAcentral.
GAUGAACGCUAGCGGCAGGCCUAACACAUGCAAGUCGAGGGGCAUCGCGGUGCAGCAAUGCACUGGCGGCGACCGGCGUACGGGUGCGUAACGCGUAUGCAACCUGCCCCGCACCGGGGGAUAGCCCGCCGAAAGGCGGAUUAAUACCCCAUGGUCCCGGGGGCCCCAUGGGCAUCCGGGUAAAGCCUUGGCGGUGCGGGAGUGGGCAUGCGUGCCAUUAGCUGGCUGGUGGGGUAACGGCCCACCAGGGCAACGAUGGCUAGGGGGUCUGAGAGGAUGGUCCCCCACACUGGUACUGAGACACGGACCAGACUCCUACGGGAGGCAGCAGUGAGGAAUAUUGGUCAAAUGGUCGAAAGACUGACCCAGCCAUGCCGCGUGCAGGGAUGAAAGGCCCUAAUGGGGUUGUAAAACUGCUUUUUAGCCCGGGAAUAAACACCCGUUUUAUAACGGGCCGAAGGUACCGGCUGAAUAAAGCAAUCGGCUAACUCCGUGCCAAGCAGCCCGCGGUAAAACUCGUCU